This 254-nucleotide ribosomal RNA is filed under the name uncultured bacterium. Its description in RNAcentral is "partial 16S ribosomal RNA". It matches the Rfam family "Bacterial small subunit ribosomal RNA", at positions 524 to 776 of the family's 1533-position model. The record is from RNAcentral.
UACGUAGGGGGCAAGCGUUGUCCGGAUUUAUUGGGCGUAAAGAGCUCGUAGGCGGUUUGGUAAGUCAGGUGUGAAAUCUCCACGCUCAACGUGGAGGGGCCACCUGAUACUGCCAUGACUGGAGUCCGGUAGAGGAGUGUGGAAUUCCCGGUGUAGCGGUGAAAUGCGCAGAUAUCGGGAGGAACACCCGUAGCGAAGGCGGUUCUCUGGGACGGUACUGACGCUGAGACGCGAAAGCGUGGGGAGCGAACAGG